This 759-nucleotide ribosomal RNA is filed under the name uncultured cyanobacterium. RNAcentral's name for it is "bacterial SSU rRNA". It matches the Rfam family "Bacterial small subunit ribosomal RNA", at positions 734 to 1492 of the family's 1533-position model. The record is from RNAcentral. Lineage: Bacteria; Bacillati; Cyanobacteriota.
CCAUAACUGACGCUCAUGGACGAAAGCCAGGGGAGCGAAAGGGAUUAGAUACCCCUGUAGUCCUGGCCGUAAACGAUGAACACUAGGUGUCGGGGGAAUCGACCCCUCCGGUGUCGUAGCCAACGCGUUAAGUGUUCCGCCUGGGGAGUACGCACGCAAGUGUGAAACUCAAAGGAAUUGACGGGGGCCCGCACAAGCGGUGGAGUAUGUGGUUUAAUUCGAUGCAACGCGAAGAACCUUACCAGGGUUUGACAUCCUGCGAAUUUCUGGGAAACCGGAAAGUGCCUUCGGGAGCGCAGUGACAGGUGGUGCAUGGCUGUCGUCAGCUCGUGUCGUGAGAUGUUGGGUUAAGUCCCGCAACGAGCGCAACCCACGUCUUUAGUUGCCAGCAUUUAGUUGGGCACUCUAGAGAGACCGCCGGUGAUAAACCGGAGGAAGGUGUGGAUGACGUCAAGUCAUCAUGCCCCUUACAUCCUGGGCUACACACGUACUACAAUGCUACGGACAAAGGGCAGCAAACUCGCGAGAGCUAGCAAAUCCCAUAAACCGUGGCUCAGUUCAGAUCGUAGGCUGCAACUCGCCUACGUGAAGGAGGAAUCGCUAGUAAUCGCAGGUCAGCAUACUGCGGUGAAUACGUUCCCGGGCCUUGUACACACCGCCCGUCACACCAUGGAAGUUGGCCACGCCCGAAGCCGUUACUCCAACCCUUGUGGAGGAGGACGUCGAAGGUGGGGCUGAUGACUGGGGUGAAGUCGUAAC